This is a long non-coding RNA of Equus quagga, 348 nucleotides long. RefSeq lists it as uncharacterized. NCBI's taxonomy places the organism in Eukaryota, Metazoa, Chordata, Mammalia, Perissodactyla, Equidae. The record is from RefSeq and is a predicted model, not a curated record. The transcript has 3 exons.
CUGCUCUGCUCCCAUCCCCUCCUGCCUUGGGUCCCGCAGGCCUGUGGUCGUUCGUGGAAAGAGCACUGACAUGCCCUGAGCUGCCCGGUGGGAAACGCCUCCUCUGUGUACUGCAGGUAGAGAGCACACAGGAUGGAGGAAAGAACCACGAGCCUGUGGACAGCAUAACCGCCUACCUGUGUAGAUGAAUUGUCUGUGCUGGUAACAGACACACACCAUUUCUCAGAGUUACUGCUGUGCACACUGCCAGACAAAUACCUUCCGUUUCUUAGGCCAGCAUAUUGCAUGCAGAGUCGGCACUGGGAGUAACAACGUGUGAAACUCUGUCUUCACAGCGAGGAGUAUGAG